Long non-coding RNA from Anneissia japonica, 210 nucleotides. RefSeq lists it as uncharacterized. The record is from RefSeq and is a predicted model, not a curated record. The transcript has 2 exons. NCBI's taxonomy places the organism in Eukaryota, Metazoa, Echinodermata, Crinoidea, Comatulida, Comatulidae.
CUAUCAUCCCAUGAAUUAUAUCGCUCUGUCACGAUGGAUUUUUACGAAUUAAAUGACGAACUAGAUUAUGAAAUUGUUGAUGAAUUGGAUGCAUCUAAUGAACUAGAAGAUCAAGAAAAUGAAAAUUUGAUUGAAAACGAAGUGGACUUUGAAUAUGAGAAAGAAACCAACACACCAGCAGAUAAUAUUACUAGCUCUUCUUCAGUGUCU